CGCGUGGCGUUCAGGGCCUGACGGUUGCUAGGGUGACAGGGACACAACAUGGCGGCGGGAUCCCUAACGCUCUCCUUCGAGGGACCACCACGGAGAUCUUAGUGCGGGACCCCGCCUCAGGGAAGUGGAAAGAAGGGGGACAACCUUCCUGCUUCUUUCUUUUCCGUCCAGUGUCGGCAAGGGGUUGUCACCGGCUUCCGCAUCCAAGAUGAAGAACUAUAAAGCAAUUGGCAAAAUAGGAGAGGGAACGUUUUCUGAAGUUAUGAAGAUGCAAAGCCUGAGAGAUGGAAACUACUAUGCAUGUAAACAAAUGAAGCAGCGCUUUGAAAGUAUUGAGCAAGUCAACAACCUACGAGAGAUCCAAGCACUGAGGCGCCUGAAUCCGCACCCAAACAUUCUUAUGUUGCAUGAAGUGGUUUUUGACAGAAAAUCUGGUUCUCUUGCACUGAUAUGUGAACUUAUGGACAUGAAUAUUUAUGAGCUAAUACGAGGGAGAAGAUACCCAUUAUCAGAAAAAAAAAUUAUGCACUAUAUGUACCAGUUAUGUAAGUCCCUGGAUCAUAUUCACAGAAAUGGAAUAUUUCACAGAGAUGUAAAACCAGAAAAUAUACUAAUAAAGCAGGAUGUCCUGAAAUUAGGGGACUUUGGCUCCUGCCGGAGUGUCUAUUCCAAGCAGCCGUACACGGAAUACAUCUCCACCCGCUGGUACCGGGCCCCGGAGUGUCUCCUCACUGAUGGGUUCUACACGUACAAGAUGGACCUGUGGAGCGCCGGCUGUGUGUUCUACGAGAUCGCCAGUCUGCAGCCCCUCUUUCCUGGAGUAAAUGAACUGGACCAAAUCUCAAAAAUCCACGAUGUCAUCGGCACACCUGCUCAGAAGACCCUCACCAAGUUCAAACAGUAAGUAUUGUGUUCUGAGAGUGGAUGUGGACUCACUCCCCUGCUAGGACCUGCAGCAGGGCAAGCCCCUCCCUGUGCCUCCCUCAAACCCCUCUCAGGAGCUCCUUUGGCCGACUACAGGGGUUCAAGUUCACUUGAGGGCCAGUGAGUGGCUGCUCAGACAGAGCCCAUCACUUUAAGUGGUCUCAAAGGUGAGCUCUUCCUUGAGCAUCACAGAAAGAUUUGUCACAGGCUUUCUGAGGGCUGGGGAGUCAGGCUGUGUUCCCUGAGUAAUUUAAACAGGACUUAGAAGCCUUUGGGUGGAAACGUUCCCCAAGCACAGAGCAUAGGUGGUGAGGGCUUUCUGCAGCCCUCCACAGCCCUGCUGGCGGGGCCGAUGCCUGGAAGAGGUGUCCCCGGACUCUUAGGGUCAUUCUCAUGAAGCUGAGGCUGGGGAGUUGGGACUUCCCAGGGAGGGCCUGUGGGCUGAGGGGCAAGUGGCACCCAGCAGCCCCCACAUCCCAGGGAGGGAGAAGGUGGCAACAAUUUUGGACUCUUCUUUUUUUGUUAAAUUUUAUUCUUCUCAUGCGGGAAGGUGAUAUUAAUCUUUUAUAGGAAAGGUAGUUUUCUUACAUUUAUAGCAUAACAGAUCCCCCCCUUUAUAAUAGACUAUUUUUAAAUAGAUUUUUUAAAGAGCAGUUUUAGGUUUCCAUAGAGCCCUGUCCCCAUGUGCACACAGCCUCCCCUGUCGUCAGCACCUGCCUCAAGUGGUGUGUUUGUUAUGGUCGAUGAACCGUGGAUAUCUCAUUACUACACAGAGCCCAUCAUUUACAUCAGGGGUCCCUCUUGGUGGUGCACGUUCUGUGGGCUGGGACAGGUGUAGACUCUGCAGUCGUAGACCAUUCCCCACCACACAGGGCCCUUAGUUGUGACAGUGGACCACCGGUGCGCUCAGUGACAGCAUGACCAUUUAUUAUCAUUGGGUUUUUAAUACAGGUCGAGAGCUAUGAAUUUUGAUUUUCCUUUUAAAAAGGGAUCAGGAAUACCUCUACUGACAACCAAUUUGUCCCCACAAUGCCUCUCCCUCCUGCACGCAAUGGUGGCCUAUGAUCCCGAUGAGAGAAUCGCCGCCCACCAGGCCCUGCAGCACCCCUACUUCCAAGAACAGAGGAAAACAGAGAAGCGGGCUCUGGGCAGCCACAGAAAAGCUGGCUUUCCGGAGCACCCUGUGGCACCGGAACCACUCAGUAACAGCUGCCAGAUUUCCAAGGAGGGCAGAAAGCAGAAACAGUCCCUAAAGCAAGAGGAGGACCGUCCCAAGAGACGAGGACCGGCCUAUGUCAUGGAACUGCCCAAACUUAAGCUUUCUGGAGUGGUCAGACUGUCGUCUUACUCCAGCCCCACGCUGCAGUCCGUGCUUGGAUCUGGAACAAAUGGAAGAGUGCCGGUGCUGAGACCCUUGAAGUGCAUCCCUGCGAGCAAGAAGACAGAUCCGCGGAAGGACCUUAAGCCUGCCCCGCAGCAGUGUCGCCUGCCCACCAUAGCGCGGAAAGGCGGAAGAUAACUGAGCAGCACCGUCGUCUCGACUUCGGAGGCAACACCAAGCCCGACCGGGCCAGGCCUGGGCGAUCUGCUGCUGAGACGCCACGGAGGGCUGGGGAUGGGCCUGCGUCCGUUUCGCGCUGGCCGGGGCUCUGGGUGCUGCCCUGCGCCCUACCGCACCCGCGGCCCGCGCAGCUGCCUAGGAUGUUCUGGGCUAAUAUAUUUGUAAAACCACCGCAUUCUAGGGUUUUCUUUCAUUUUCGUUAAGAAUUUGGGGCAGGAAAUACUUUGUAACUUUAUAUAUGAAUCAAAACAAACGAGCAGGCAUUUCUGUGAUGUGUUGGGCGUGGUUGGAAGGUGGGUUCUGCGUGUCCCUUCCCAGCGCUGCUGGUCAGUCGUGGAGCGCCAUCAUGUCUUACCAGUGACGCUACUGACACCCCUGACUUUUAUUAAAGAAUAAGCUGUCGUUACA
Molecule: small RNA, 2893 nt
Filed under: Pan troglodytes (chimpanzee)
Lineage: Eukaryota; Metazoa; Chordata; Mammalia; Primates; Hominidae
Description: retained intron
Source: RNAcentral